This 492-nucleotide ribosomal RNA is filed under the name uncultured bacterium. RNAcentral's name for it is "partial 16S ribosomal RNA". It matches the Rfam family "Bacterial small subunit ribosomal RNA", at positions 29 to 507 of the family's 1533-position model. The record is from RNAcentral.
AGUGAACGCUGGCGGUAGGCCUAACACAUGCAAGUCGAACGGCAGCACAGUAAGAGCUUGCUCUUACGGGUGGCGAGUGGCGGACGGGUGAGGAAUACAUCGGAAUCUACUUUUUCGUGGGGGAUAACGUAGGGAAACUUACGCUAAUACCGCAUACGACCUACGGGUGAAAGCAGGGGAUCUUCGGACCUUGCGCGAUUGAAUGAGCCGAUGUCGGAUUAGCUAGUUGGCGGGGUAAAGGCCCACCAGGGCGACGAUCCGUAGCUGGUCUGAGAGGAUGAUAAGCCACACUGGAACUGAGACACGGUCCAUACUCCUACGGGAGGCAGCAGUGGGGAAUAUUGGACAAUGGGCGCAAGCCUGAUCCAGCCAUACCGCGUGGGUGAAGAAGGCCUUCGGGUUGUAAAGCCCUUUUGUUGGGAAAGAAAAGCAGCAGGUUAAUACCCCGCUGUUCUGACGGUACCCAAAGAAUAAGCACCGGCUAACUUCGUG